This 536-nucleotide long non-coding RNA is filed under the name Ananas comosus (pineapple). RNAcentral's name for it is "long non-coding RNA (ACOM_LNC021572)". Lineage: Eukaryota; Viridiplantae; Streptophyta; Magnoliopsida; Poales; Bromeliaceae. The record is from RNAcentral.
AAAAUUUUGUUAGCUUUUAAUUUUUCGGAGAUUUUUUUUUAGAGUUUUAAGCACUUUUUGUUAAGUAAAUUUUAAAAUUGGUAAACUUCAAAUACCGCCUCUGUAGCUUCGCAUUUUCUCACUUUAACAACAUGUGGUUUAAAGUGUAUCAAGUUAGUGCUCUAUGGUUUUAUUUUUUUUCUUUUCGUCAGUUCCUUCAUUAAUAUUUUGUUAAAUUAUAUACAAAAAACUUCAGAUACCUUACCUAGAUUUAUUGAAUAUUCAUUUAAGUAUUCUUUAAUUUUAACUUUUGUCACUGAUUUAACAAAAAAAAAUAUAGUGAAAUGGAUAAUAAAAAAAGAAAAAUAAAACCACAUGAUACUAAAUUAAUACACUUUAAACCAUAGGGUGCUAAAAUGAGAAAGUGCGAAACCAUAAGGGUGGUAUUUGAAGUUUUUUUUAAAAAAUUAAUGGUUUAUAGCUGAUAAAUAAGAAAAAUUUUGAGUUUUUCUAGCUAGAGUGAUUUAAUUAAAUAAAUUAUAUGUUAAUGAGUAUUG